AUACGGAGGGUGCAAGCGUUGUCCGGAUUUAUUGGGUUUAAAGGGUGCGUAGGCGGCCAAUUAAGUCAGUGGUGAAAUGUAUCAGCUUAACUGAUGAGGUGCCAUUGAAACUGAUUGGCUUGAGUACAGACGAGGUAGGCGGAAUUUAUGGUGUAGCGGUGAAAUGCAUAGAUACCAUAAAGAACACCGAUAGCGAAGGCAGCUUACUAGACUGUUACUGACGCUGAGGCACGAAAGCGUGGGGAGCGAACAGGAUUAGAAACCCUAGUAGUCC
Molecule: ribosomal RNA, 274 nt
Filed under: uncultured bacterium
Lineage: Bacteria
Description: partial 16S ribosomal RNA
Rfam family: Bacterial small subunit ribosomal RNA
Source: RNAcentral